UACGGGGGGUGCAAGCGUUAUUCGGAAUCAUUGGGCGUAAAGGGCGCGUAGGCGGCCCCUUAAGUCAGAUGUGAAAGCCCUCAGCUUAACUGAGGAAGUGCAUUUGAAACUAAGGGGCUUGAGUAUGGGAGAGGGAAGCGGAAUUCCUGGUGUAGCGGUGAAAUGCGUAGAUAUCAGGAGGAACACCGGUGGCGAAGGCGGCUUCCUGGACCAAUACUGACGCUGAGGCGCGAAGGCGUGGGGAGCAAACAGG
This 253-nucleotide ribosomal RNA is filed under the name uncultured bacterium. RNAcentral's name for it is "partial 16S ribosomal RNA". It matches the Rfam family "Bacterial small subunit ribosomal RNA", at positions 524 to 776 of the family's 1533-position model. The record is from RNAcentral.